GUGUCCUGCCAGAAACAGCUGACUCUGUUUUCGUCUGCGUCGCCUACAUCGAUUUCUUUGUGAGAAUUUGGAAACUUUUUACUCAAUUUCUUGCUACUUUUUUUAUUUGCGGGGGUGUCCAAGAAUCUGUACAUGUAUCUAACUUUUCCGCAGGUACUGGACUGGAUAAUAUAUGUCUGGGGUGCCGAGAAAGCGAGUUCGUAGUUCAAUUCUGGACGAUAUGCUCCAGGAGGAGGACCAAUCUGCAACUUUGGAACACAGUGCACGUAAGGCGAUGAAGUUGCAGAAAGGACGAAGAACAGGGCGGGGAGGAACCCCCAGGAGCUCAACUACUUCUCCUGCUGGGAUGGGGGAGUCAGGGGAGAAUUCAGCAGAAGAAGGAGAGUAUGUUCCAAAUUCAGAUUUGGAUCCGGCCUUCCUAAGGAAAAUCAAGACAAGACGUGAUUUAUCAAAGACGGACCAAGAGGUUGUUAGACUAAUUGGACAGCAUCUCAGUGACUUAGGAUUAAAGAGUGCUAGUGAUGUACUGAUGAAAGAGUCUGGGUGUAGACAGGAUGAUCCCUCUAGUUCCACCUUCAGACACUGUAUCAUGAAAGGGGACUGGGCCGGAGCGGUUAACGUUUUGGAUGAUCUGAAGCAUCAUUUGGAGAGUCCUGACACAGUCAAGGAGAUGAAAUUUAUCAUACUAGAACAAAAAUAUAUUGAAUAUUUACGCGAUGGGAAAACAUUUGAGGCUCUGAAGGUGUUGCAGAUGGAUAUCAGCCCCUUGAACCACAACAUACCCCGGACCCAUCAUCUCUCCUCCCUCCUCAUGCUCCCCAUCAACGGACUGAUAAUAAGUAAUCGACAAUCUGAGAGUAGAAGCCAUAAUUCUCCGUUUACAAACAAUAACUCUGAGUCUGAUCAUCUGCCUAAAAUACUGGACAGGGAAGAGGUGAUGGAGAAACUUCAAUCCUUCCUUCCUCCCAGUGUCAUGUUGCCACCCAGAAGACUCCAGACCCUACUAAGUCAAGCAGUUGCUCAUCAGAAGGAACACUGUAUUUAUCAUAACAGACUCGGAGAUAAUGAACCCCCCAAGGUGUUAUCAGUGGACCAUCAAUGUAGUAAGGAAACCUUCCCAUCAGAGACUCUUCAGGUUUUGAGUGAGCAUGGGGACGAAGUCUGGUUCUGUAAAUGGUCACCAAAUGGAAAGCUCUUAGCAACUGGAAGCAAGGACUGUACAGUAAUUAUCUGGAAGCUUGAUACAAAUACACUCAAACUCAAAAGUGAAAAGGUACUGGAUGGACAUUCUCAUGGAGUCUCCUACUUCUCCUGGUCCCCAGACUCUAGUAAACUGGCAGUAUGUGGGCCCGAGGAGUGCCCAGAUGUUUAUAUCUGGGAUAUAGCUGGAGGAAGAAUAGAGAACAAGAUAUCUCACACCCAAGAGGAUUCUUUAACGACUGUAUCCUGGUCUCCUGAUGGUACAAGGCUAGCUGCAGGGGGGAGCAGGGGUCAGUUUUACCAGUUUGAUUCCCAUGGAAACAUAAACAAUUCAUGGGAAGGUGUACGAGUUCAAGCUUUAGCAUACAGAUCUGACGGUAAACACAUCCUGGCUGCCGAUACACACCAUAGACUCAGAUGUUACAACUUUGAUGAUCUCUCUGACCAGCCAAUUAUUCAGGAGGAUCAAGCUAUUAUGUCUUUCACACUAGACCAGACUGACCGCUACGCGCUGUUGAACAUUGCCAACCAAGGAGCACAUUUGUGGGAUAUCAAGGACCGCUGUCUGGUUCAGAAGUUCAAGGGGAUCACGCAGGGGUUCUACACAAUAUAUUCAAGUUUUGGUGGAUCUAACCAAUCAUUUAUUGCCUCCGGAUCCGAGGAUAUGAAGGUUUAUAUCUACCACGUGGACCGACCUGACCCUAUCCAAGAGCUGAGUGGUCACACUAGAACUGUUUCCUGCGUCUCCUGGAAUCCUGUUUACCACCAGUUAAUUGCUUCUGCCUCUGAUGACAAUACUGUUCGUAUCUGGGGCCCUGCAGAGAAAUACAGAAAUCAAUCAUUCAAGAGACAAUAACUGUCCGUUGUCUCCUUCAAGAGACAAUAAGCUGUCAGUUGUCUCCUUCAAGAGACAAUAAGCUGUCAGUUGUCUCCUUCAAGAGACAAUAAGCUGUCAGUUGUCUCCUUCAAGAGACAAUAAGCACGCACGCUAAACGCGAGCAAAAUAAUAAACUCCAACUUCAAGUGAUGUAAAAUAAAUUUAAGUACAGAUGUGCUACCUUCGUAUUAUAUAGCAUCUAGAAAAUAAUGUAGACAUAAUAAACAAAUGUGGGAUCAGGAGCACUUUUCCUAUACAAAUUAAAGACCCACGUUUUCGUAUAUUUUUUUUUUUUAGUAAAAUUUUAGUUUUAAGUUUUGCUCCCAUUUUUAGUUUUUUUUAGUUUAAUUUGUUCUUAACAAUUCUUUCUAUUCAAGUUAAAAGUGUUGUUGGGAUGCCUUUUACCAUUUUUGUUUAACCAUUGAUUAAAUAGUACUGAUUAAACAUUGUAAAAUUACAUAAAUUUGAUAUGUAAAGAUUUUAUUCCAUUUUCUGCACUAUCGGGAUAGUUUCAUCAAAAUCAGAUGUAUAUUUUUGUUUUCAAGAAUUGGCUACAAAAAAAUUAUUUCUAAACUUGCCUGAAGAACACUCAAAUUGAUUUCAAAAACUUCCCGAAUGGCAGCUAUAAAUUAUGAAUAAAUUAAUACCUUUUGAUUUUUAUUUGUUAAAUUUAA
Molecule: unclassified non-coding RNA, 2751 nt
Filed under: Eurytemora carolleeae
Lineage: Eukaryota; Metazoa; Arthropoda; Copepoda; Calanoida; Temoridae
Description: wD repeat-containing protein 26-like
Source: RNAcentral